Molecule: long non-coding RNA, 283 nt
Organism: Centropristis striata (black sea bass)
Lineage: Eukaryota; Metazoa; Chordata; Actinopteri; Perciformes; Serranidae
Exons: 3
Source: RefSeq, a predicted model, not a curated record
AGAGGAGGUGGAAAUGGUAAACUCCUUCCUCUCCAGGACUGCCAUCAACACAAAGUUCAUGGGCAAAGGAGCCCGCACAGACAUGCUGACUGUCCAGAUCAUGGACUGGAACAGGAGAAAGACUGAAAAUAUGUGUAAUACCUUAUGCACAAGAUUUCGCAAGACACAGCAGAAUCUUCAGAGAGAGAGAGACAGAGCCUACAGACCCUUAAGGAAGAGAUGUCUGCCAAUGAUCAAAUUUUGCAGCAGUGGGUCAAAGAUGUCCAGGACUGGGCUGAACACG